AUUGAACGCUGGCGGCAUGCUUUACACAUGCAAGUCGAACGGUAACAGGCCUUCGGGUGCUGACGAGUGGCGAACGGGUGAGUAAUGCAUCGGAACGUACCCAGAGGUGGGGGAUAACGCAGCGAAAGCUGUGCUAAUACCGCAUGUGAUCUGAGGAUGAAAGCGGGGGACCGAGCAGCAAUGUUUGGCCUCGCGCCUUUGGAGCGGCCGAUGUCGGAUUAGCUAGUUGGUGGGGUAAAGGCCUACCAAGGCGACGAUCCGUAGCUGGUCUGAGAGGACGAUCAGCCACACUGGGACUGAGACACGGUCCAGACUCCUACGGGAGGCAGCAGUGGGGAAUUUUGGACAAUGGGCGCAAGCCUGAUCCAGCAAUGCCGCGUGCGGGAAGAAGGCCUUCGGGUUGUAAACCGCUUUUGGCAGGAACGAAACGGUGUCCGCUAAUACCGGGCGCUAAUGACGGUACCUGCAGAAUAAGCACCGGCUAACUACGUG
RNAcentral lists this ribosomal RNA (492 nucleotides) under uncultured bacterium. RNAcentral's name for it is "partial 16S ribosomal RNA". It matches the Rfam family "Bacterial small subunit ribosomal RNA", at positions 30 to 507 of the family's 1533-position model. The record is from RNAcentral.